AUUGAACGCUGGCGGAAUGCUUUACACAUGCAAGUCGAACGGCAGCACGGGGGCAACCCUGGUGGCGAGUGGCGAACGGGUGAGUAAUACAUCGGAACGUGCCCAGUCGUGGGGGAUAACGUAGCGAAAGCUACGCUAAUACCGCAUACGAUCUACGGAUGAAAGCGGGGGAUCGCAAGACCUCGCGCGAUUGGAGCGGCCGACGGCAGAUUAGGUAGUUGGUGGGGUAAAGGCUCACCAAGCCUUCGAUCUGUAGCUGGUCUGAGAGGACGACCAGCCACACUGGGACUGAGACACGGCCCAGACUCCUACGGGAGGCAGCAGUGGGGAAUUUUGGACAAUGGGCGAAAGCCUGAUCCAGCCAUUCCGCGUGCAGGAUGAAGGCCCUCGGGUUGUAAACUGCUUUUGUACGGAACGAAACGGCCUUUUCUAAUACAGAGGGCUAAUGACGGUACCGUAAGAAUAAGCACCGGCUAACUACGUGCCAGCAGCCGCGGUAAAGUGUAG
RNAcentral lists this ribosomal RNA (507 nucleotides) under uncultured bacterium. RNAcentral's name for it is "bacterial SSU rRNA". It matches the Rfam family "Bacterial small subunit ribosomal RNA", at positions 30 to 530 of the family's 1533-position model. The record is from RNAcentral.